UACGAGGGGGGGCAAGCGUUGUUCGGAAUUAUUGGGCGUAAAGGGCGCGUAGGCGGUGCGGUAAGUCUGAUGUGAAAUCUCCGGGCUCAACUCGGAGUCUGCAUCAGAAACUGCCGUGCUCGAGUGUGGGAGAGGUGAGUGGAAUUCCCGGUGUAGCGGUGAAAUGCGUAGAUAUCGGGAGGAACGCCUGUGGCGAAAGCGGCUCACUGGACCACAACUGACGCUGAGGCGCGAAAGCUAGGGGAGCAAACAGG
This 254-nucleotide ribosomal RNA is filed under the name uncultured bacterium. RNAcentral's name for it is "partial 16S ribosomal RNA". It matches the Rfam family "Bacterial small subunit ribosomal RNA", at positions 524 to 776 of the family's 1533-position model. The record is from RNAcentral.